UGGGGAAUAUUGGACAAUGGGGGCAACCCUGAUCCAGCGAUGCCGCGUGAGUGAAGAAGGCCUUCGGGUUGUAAAGCUCUUUUGUCAGGGAAGAAACGGUAGUAGCGAAUAACUAUUACUAAUGACGGUACCCGAAGAAUAAGCACCGGCUAACUACGUGCCAGCAGCCGCGGUAAUACGUAGGGUGCAAGCGUUAAUCGGAAUUACUGGGCGUAAAGCGUGCGCAGGCGGUUGUGUAAGUCAGAUGUGAAAUCCCCGGGCUCAACCUGGGAAUUGCAUUUGAGACUGCACGGCUAGAGUGUGUCAGAGGGGGGUAGAAUUCCACGUGUAGCAGUGAAAUGCGUAGAUAUGUGGAGGAAUACCGAUGGCGAAGGCAGCCCCCUGGGAUAACACUGACGCUCAUGCACGAAAGCGUGGGGAGCAAGCAGGAUUAGAUACCUAUGUAGUCCCUGAGCGGGCUGGCAAGGCGCAU
Molecule: ribosomal RNA, 472 nt
Filed under: uncultured bacterium
Lineage: Bacteria
Description: bacterial SSU rRNA
Rfam family: Bacterial small subunit ribosomal RNA
Source: RNAcentral